Molecule: non-coding RNA, 28 nt
Filed under: Bombyx mori (domestic silkworm)
Lineage: Eukaryota; Metazoa; Arthropoda; Insecta; Lepidoptera; Bombycidae
Source: RNAcentral
UGUCGCCAAAUGAGCGUCUCGGCGCGUC